This 212-nucleotide ribosomal RNA is filed under the name uncultured bacterium. RNAcentral describes it as "partial 16S ribosomal RNA". It matches the Rfam family "Bacterial small subunit ribosomal RNA", at positions 1281 to 1500 of the family's 1533-position model. The record is from RNAcentral.
GCCUGUCUCAGUUCGGAUUGGAGUCUGCAACUCGACUCCAUGAAGCUGGAUUCGCUAGUAAUCGCGCAUCAGCCAUGGCGCGGUGAAUACGUUCCCGGGCCUUGUACACACCGCCCGUCAAGCCAUGGGAGCCGGGGGUGCCUGAAGUACGUGACCGCGAGGAGCGUCCUAGGGCAAAACUGGUGACUGGGGCUAAGUCGUAACAAGGUAGC